RNAcentral lists this ribosomal RNA (468 nucleotides) under Atractus trilineatus (three-lined ground snake). RNAcentral's name for it is "partial 16S large subunit ribosomal RNA". It matches the Rfam family "Bacterial large subunit ribosomal RNA", at positions 1913 to 2603 of the family's 2925-position model. Lineage: Eukaryota; Metazoa; Chordata; Lepidosauria; Squamata; Dipsadidae. The record is from RNAcentral.
UGAACAAUUAAACGGCCGCGGUACCCUAACCGUGCAAAGGUAGCGUAAUCACUUGUCUACUAAUUAUAGACCGGUAUGAAAGGCAUAAUGAGGGUCUCUCUGUCUCUUAUAAUAAAUCAAUUAAACUGAUCUUCUAGUAAAAAAGCUAGAAUUUACACAUUAGACCAGAAGACCCUGUGAAGCUUAAACUAAACUAUUAAACCACAUAAUACUUACUUUUGGUUGGGGCAACCUUGGAAAAAAAAAGAACUUCCAAAUACAUGACUUUAACUCACACGCGGCCCACAGGCCCACACAGACCCAGUACAACUGACAAUUGAACCAAGUUACUCCAGGGAUAACAGCGCCAUCUUCUUCAAGAGCCCAUAUCAAAAAGAAGGCUUACGACCUCGAUGUUGGAUCAGGACAUCCUAAUGGUGCAACCGCUAUUAAGGGUUCGUUUGUUCAACGAUUAACAGUCCUACGUGA